Molecule: ribosomal RNA, 253 nt
Filed under: uncultured bacterium
Lineage: Bacteria
Description: partial 16S ribosomal RNA
Rfam family: Bacterial small subunit ribosomal RNA
Source: RNAcentral
UACGAAGGGGGCGAGCGUUGUUCGGAUUUACUGGGCGUAAAGGGCGCGCAGGCGGCUUUGUUUGUCAGGCGUGAAAGCCCCGGGCUUAACCUGGGAACUGCGUUUGAUACGGCAGGGCUAGAGUUCGGGAGAGGAGAGUGGAAUUCCCAGUGUAGAGGUGAAAUUCGUAGAUAUUGGGAAGAACACCGGUGGCGAAGGCGUCUCUCUGGACCGAUACUGACGCUGAGGCGCGAAAGCGUGGGGAGCAAACAGG